This 989-nucleotide long non-coding RNA is filed under the name Helianthus annuus (common sunflower). RNAcentral's name for it is "hypothetical non coding rna". The record is from RNAcentral. Lineage: Eukaryota; Viridiplantae; Streptophyta; Magnoliopsida; Asterales; Asteraceae.
CCCAUCUAAAGGUUCUUCCGCCGUCACACCAAUCAAGCCAUUUUUCCUGACAUAACUCUUUAUCAUCUUUCCAAGAUCCUGUUCCAAACCCACCCAUCAGAUCUUUGAUUUUCAUCGGCAAUCACUUCAAAACAGUUUGAAGAAAUUUCACCUGUUUUACUUCAUCUCUGGCGAAAGUUGCAGUUGGGAUGUGUGGGGAAAGAGAAUUUAUUUCAGACGUUAAUACGGGCUUUAUUGUUGGAGUGGAUAUUGAGUUAGGAUUCUUAGGGUUGUUUGUAUCACUUCUACUCAAUUAAGUUAACGAAGGCUUUCGGUGAUGGGGACUAUCAGUUCUACUCAAUUAAGUUAAAGAGUUUGGUGACGGCGUGUUUAUCACUUCUACUCAACUAAGUUAAAAGAGGAAUUUGAUGACGAUUCGACUAUCACUUCCACUCAAUUAAGUUAAAAAAGGAUUUAGGUGAUGACUCGAUGGUGUUAUGGUUGAAGUGAAUGUUGAAUUUGAAUUAUUUGGAUUGUAUCAUUUCUAUUCAAUUAAGUUAAAAGGAGAUUUUGAUGACCACUUGACCUGACGAUGUUAUGGGCGAAGUGAAUAUUAAGUUGGACUUCGAAGACUACUUGACGGUAUUAUGGUUGAAGUGAAUAGAGUUAGAAUUCUCUGGAUGUCAUUUCCACUCAGCUAUGUUAAAGAAUGACUGAUGACAAAAAUAGUCAACCGUAUUAUGUAUAGUGACUAUUAUGUUAGAAAGUUUUUUUUUUUUUUGAACGAUGAAUAUUGGGUUAGAAUUCUCUGGCUUGUUUGGCAACGACUUUGAAACUACAAUCAAGUAAUGCGUGGAACUUGAAGGUGAUCGCUAAAUGUAAUCUGAUGUAAACAAGAUGUGAAUUGAAGUUGUGUUUGGGUGAGUUCUAAUCUUACAUGGCAAUUAUUCAUCAAGCCUUUGUAUGUUUGUCAAUCAAGCUUUAGUAAUUCCAUCAUGUGCAUGCUUUAU